This 77-nucleotide transfer RNA is filed under the name Idiomarina abyssalis. RNAcentral describes it as "tRNA-Arg". It matches the Rfam family "tRNA". From Rfam's summary of the family: Transfer RNA (tRNA) molecules are approximately 80 nucleotides in length. Their secondary structure includes four short double-helical elements and three loops (D, anti-codon, and T loops). RNAcentral also lists the same sequence under 2 other names. The record is from RNAcentral. Lineage: Bacteria; Pseudomonadati; Pseudomonadota; Gammaproteobacteria; Alteromonadales; Idiomarinaceae.
GUCCUCGUAGCUCAGCUGGAUAGAGCCGCCGCCUCCUAAGCGACAGGUCGCAGGUUCGACUCCUGCCGGGGACGCCA